UUACCGAGUGAGGGCCCUCUGGGUCCAACCUCCCACCCGUGUUUAUUUUACCUUGUUGCUUCGGCGGGCCCGCCUUAACUGGCCGCCGGGGGGCUUACGCCCCCGGGCCCGCGCCCGCCGAAGACACCCUCGAACUCUGUCUGAAGAUUGAAGUCUGAGUGAAAAUAUAAAUUAUUUAAAACUUUCAACAACGGAUCUCUUGGUUCCGGCAUCGAUGAAGAACGCAGCGAAAUGCGAUACGUAAUGUGAAUUGCAAAUUCAGUGAAUCAUCGAGUCUUUGAACGCACAUUGCGCCCCCUGGUAUUCCGGGGGGCAUGCCUGUCCGAGCGUCAUUGCUGCCCUCAAGCCCGGCUUGUGUGUUGGGCCCCGUCCCCCGAUCUCCGGGGGACGGGCCCGAAAGGCAGCGGCGGCACCGCGUCCGGUCCUCGAGCGUAUGGGGCUUUGUCACCCGCUCUGUAGGCCCGGCCGGCGCUUGCCGAUCAACCCAAAUUUUUAUCCAGGUUGACCUCGGAUCAGGUAGGGAUACCCGCUGAACUUAAGCAUAUCA
Molecule: ribosomal RNA, 547 nt
Filed under: Penicillium commune
Lineage: Eukaryota; Fungi; Ascomycota; Eurotiomycetes; Eurotiales; Aspergillaceae
Description: eukaryotic LSU rRNA
Rfam family: 5.8S ribosomal RNA (bases 180-332)
Source: RNAcentral